This is a long non-coding RNA of Electrophorus electricus (electric eel), 377 nucleotides long. The record is from Ensembl. Lineage: Eukaryota; Metazoa; Chordata; Actinopteri; Gymnotiformes; Gymnotidae.
UGAUCGUGGCAAAGCUAUGGGAUGAAGAGCCAUAUAAAUCCACUGGAUUUAUUCUGGAGGGCUUUCCUCUGCUUCCAGAGGAGGUGUCCUUUCUGGUGAAGCGUCACCUGUACCCAGACGCUGUGGUGCUGAUGAAGUUAGAAGUAACGGAGGUGGUGCACCGCCUGCUGUCCCCACGGCUCACCCGCUGGAGGGAGAGACGAACCCGACGGAGAGAGCGUAUGCAGCUGCUUAAAGAGCUACGCGGAAAAAACAGGGAAGAGGCCGUGAGCCAGCGGAGAGCUGAGCUGGAGGCUGAGCAUGCAGCAGCUCUCAAAGUAAGGCGCGUCCUCAGUCAUCACGUGACAGCACAGUGGCCUUUAACGUGACAUCGCUGA